RNAcentral lists this long non-coding RNA (569 nucleotides) under Marmota monax (woodchuck). Lineage: Eukaryota; Metazoa; Chordata; Mammalia; Rodentia; Sciuridae. The record is from RNAcentral.
CUGGAAAUCUCCAUUUCUCUAGCAGCCAGGUGCUCUGGUUAAGAGCUUCCUUCACAGGGACCUCUAUACUGUCAGAGGCAGCAUCCAAGAGAAGACCCAAGAGCUUUGGGGCUCCAGAAAAUAUACCCCUACAGGGAUAGGUUAACUGCUAGAGCACACAGGACUUCACUUGGGAGUGACAAGAUUCUAAAAUUGUGGUGACAGCGACACAACUCUUAAUACACUGAGCCAGCAUUGUUAGUUCCAGUGACGCCUGGAGGUUCCUCUUUACUUCUGCUGAUGGCGGCACGGGGGUCUUAUCCAAAAUUGCAUGGCAUGUGAAUAAUUUCUCAACAGGGCUGCUACCAAGAGGAAAUUCCCCCACAGCCUCUCCAUCACUGUGUCCCAGUUCUCCCUUCAACACCUCUCACUCCACAGCCCCUGUGUCUGAGCAGCAGGCACCUACACCCAGCACUCCCUAGCACCUUCCUUAGAUGGUGGCUCUCUGUGGCACCUGUGUUUGUCAAAUAGUAUUUAAGCCUUUGUUCUCUCCCACCAGUCUGUGAGGUACAGUUUUUGUCUACCUCCUA